GUGCUUUUACUACAAAUACCACAGUAAAACUACAGUUACUGAGGUAAACCCAUAGUAAGCAUUGAGGUUACUGUGCUUUAACUACAAAUACCACAGUAAAGUACAGUCACUGUAGUAAAAACAUAGUAAGAAUCAAGGUUAUUGUGCUUUUACUACAAAUACCACAGUAAAGUACAGUCACUGUAGUAAAAACAUAGUAAGAAUCAAGGUUGUUGUGCUUUUACUACAAAUACCACAGUAAAACUACAGUUACUGAGGUAAACCCAUAGUAAGCAUUGAGGUUACUGUGCUUUAACUACAAAUACCACAGUAAAGUACAGUCACUGUAGUAAAAACAUAGUAAGAAUCAAGGUUAUUGUGCUUUUACUACAAAUACCACAGUAAAACUACAGUUACUGCGGUAAACCCAUAGUAAGCAUUGAGGUUACUGUGCUUUAACUACAAAUACCACAGUAAAGUACAGUCACUGUAGUAAAAACAUAGUAAGAAUCAAGGUU
Molecule: long non-coding RNA, 497 nt
Organism: Labeo rohita (rohu)
Lineage: Eukaryota; Metazoa; Chordata; Actinopteri; Cypriniformes; Cyprinidae
Exons: 4
Source: RefSeq, a predicted model, not a curated record